AGAGUUUGAUCCUGGCUCAGGAUGAACGCUGGCGGCGUGCUUAACACAUGCAAGUCGAACGGAGUACCCUUGAAGGAGUUUUCGGACAACUGAUAGGACUACUUAGUGGCGGACGGGUGAGUAACGCGUGAGUAACCUGCCUUGGAGUGGGGAAUAACAGCUGGAAACAGCUGCUAAUACCGCAUGAUGCAGUUGGGUCGCAUGGCUCUGACUGCCAAAGAUUUAUCGCUCUGAGAUGGACUCGCGUCUGAUUAGCUAGUUGGCGGGGCAACGGCCCACCAAGGCGACGAUCAGUAGCCGGACUGAGAGGUUGGCCGGCCACAUUGGGACUGAGACACGGCCCAGACUCCUACGGGAGGCAGCAGUGGGGAAUAUUGGGCAAUGGGCGCAAGCCUGACCCAGCAACGCCGCGUGAAGGAAGAAGGCUUUCGGGUUGUAAACUUCUUUUCUUAGGGACGAAGAAAGUGACGGUACCUAAGGAAUAAGCCACGGCUAACUACGUG
This 503-nucleotide ribosomal RNA is filed under the name uncultured Oscillospiraceae bacterium. RNAcentral's name for it is "bacterial SSU rRNA". It matches the Rfam family "Bacterial small subunit ribosomal RNA", at positions 8 to 507 of the family's 1533-position model. Lineage: Bacteria; Bacillati; Bacillota; Clostridia; Eubacteriales; Oscillospiraceae. The record is from RNAcentral.